UACGUAGGGGGCAAGCGUUGUCCGGAAUCAUUGGGCGUAAAGAGCGCGUAGGCGGCCCGAUAAGUCCGCUGUGAAAGUCAAGGGCUUAACCCUUGAAUGCCGGUGGAAACUGUCGGGCUAGAGUCCGGAAGAGGCGAGUGGAAUUCCUGGUGUAGCGGUGAAAUGCGCAGAUAUCAGGAGGAACACCUAUAGCGAAGGCAGCUUGCUGGGACGUUACUGACGCUAAGGCGCGAAAGCGUGGGGAGCGAACAGG
This 253-nucleotide ribosomal RNA is filed under the name uncultured bacterium. Its description in RNAcentral is "partial 16S ribosomal RNA". It matches the Rfam family "Bacterial small subunit ribosomal RNA", at positions 524 to 776 of the family's 1533-position model. The record is from RNAcentral.